AGUUUGAUCCUGGCUCAGGAUGAACGCUAGCUACAGGCUUAACACAUGCAAGUCGAGGGGCAUCAGGAAGAAAGCUUGCUUUCUUUGCUGGCGACCGGCGCACGGGUGAGUAACACGUAUCCAACCUGCCGAUGACUCGGGGAUAGCCUUUCGAAAGAAAGAUUAAUACCCGAUGGUAUAUCUGAAAGGCAUCUUUCAGCUAUUAAAGAAUUUCGGUCAUUGAUGGGGAUGCGUUCCAUUAGGUUGUUGGCGGGGUAACGGCCCACCAAGCCAUCGAUGGAUAGGGGUUCUGAGAGGAAGGUCCCCCACAUUGGAACUGAGACACGGUCCAAACUCCUACGGGAGGCAGCAGUGAGGAAUAUUGGUCAAUGGACGAGAGUCUGAACCAGCCAAGUAGCGUGAAGGAUGACUGCCCUAUGGGUUGUAAACUUCUUUUAUACGGGAAUAAAGUUAGGCACGUGUGCCUUUUUGUAUGUACCGUAUGAAUAAGGAUCGGCUAACUCCGUGCCAGCAGCCGCGGUAAUACGGAGGAUCCGAGCGUUAUCCGGAUUUAUUGGGUUUAAAGGGAGCGUAGGCGGAUGCUUAAGUCAGUUGUGAAAGUUUGCGGCUCAACCGUAAAAUUGCAGUUGAUACUGGGUGUCUUGAGUACAGUAGAGGCAGGCGGAAUUCGUGGUGUAGCGGUGAAAUGCUUAGAUAUCACGAAGAACUCCGAUUGCGAAGGCAGCUUGCUGGACUGUAACUGACGCUGAUGCUCGAAAGUGUGGGUAUCAAACAGGAUUAGAUACCCUGGUAGUCCACACAGUAAACGAUGAAUACUCGCUGUUUGCGAUAUACAGUAAGCGGCCAAGCGAAAGCGUUAAGUAUUCCACCUGGGGAGUACGCCGGCAACGGUGAAACUCAAAGGAAUUGACGGGGGCCCGCACAAGCGGAGGAACAUGUGGUUUAAUUCGAUGAUACGCGAGGAACCUUACCCGGGCUUAAAUUGCAAAUGAAUGUUCUGGAAACAGAUCAGCCGCAAGGCAUUUGUGAAGGUGCUGCAUGGUUGUCGUCAGCUCGUGCCGUGAGGUGUCGGCUUAAGUGCCAUAACGAGCGCAACCCUUAUCGAUAG
This 1108-nucleotide ribosomal RNA is filed under the name uncultured Bacteroides sp. RNAcentral's name for it is "bacterial SSU rRNA". It matches the Rfam family "Bacterial small subunit ribosomal RNA", at positions 10 to 1114 of the family's 1533-position model. Lineage: Bacteria; Pseudomonadati; Bacteroidota; Bacteroidia; Bacteroidales; Bacteroidaceae. The record is from RNAcentral.